This 484-nucleotide ribosomal RNA is filed under the name uncultured bacterium. RNAcentral's name for it is "partial 16S ribosomal RNA". It matches the Rfam family "Bacterial small subunit ribosomal RNA", at positions 29 to 507 of the family's 1533-position model. The record is from RNAcentral.
AUUGAACGCUGGCGGCAUGCUUUACACAUGCAAGUCGAACGGCAGCGCGGGCUUCGGCCUGGCGGCGAGUGGCGAACGGGUGAGUAAUGCAUCGGAACGUGCCCAGCAGUGGGGGAUAGCCCGGCGAAAGACGGAUUAAUACCGCAUACGACCUGAGGGUGAAAGCGGGGGAGCGAAAGGCCUCGCGCUAUUGGAGCGGCGGAUGUCGGAUUAGCUAGUUGGUGGGGUAAAGGCUUACCAAGGCGACGAUCCGUAGCUGGUCUGAGAGGACGACCAGCCACACUGGAACUGAGACACGGCCCAGACUCCUACGGGAGGCAGCAGUGGGGAAUGUUGGACAAUGGGGGCAACCCUGAUCCAGCCAUGCCGCGUGCGGGAAGAAGGCCUUCGGGUUGUAAACCGCUUUUGUUCGGGAAGAAAUCCUCUGGGCUAAUACCCCGCGGGGAUGACGGUACCGGAAGAAUAAGCACCGGCUAACUACGUG